Molecule: ribosomal RNA, 150 nt
Filed under: uncultured Theileria sp.
Lineage: Eukaryota; Apicomplexa; Aconoidasida; Piroplasmida; Theileriidae
Description: partial small subunit ribosomal RNA
Rfam family: Eukaryotic small subunit ribosomal RNA
Source: RNAcentral
UCCAGAGUAUCAAUUGGACGGGCAAGUCUGGUGCCAGCAGCCGCGGUAAUUCCAGCUCCACAUAGCGUAUAUUGAAAAUUGUUGCGAGUCUAAAAAUGCUCGUAGGUCGAAUUUCUGCGUACAGUUCGCCGUAUUCUCCUUUACGAGUUU